Molecule: long non-coding RNA, 2121 nt
Organism: Mercenaria mercenaria
Lineage: Eukaryota; Metazoa; Mollusca; Bivalvia; Venerida; Veneridae
Exons: 3
Source: RefSeq, a predicted model, not a curated record
AGUAGGAGGACUUUGGUUGAGUGUUGAGGGAUGUUCUGAGCACAAGCCUCUGGCACAAGCCAUGAUAUCUAGAUAUAUUUCCGGCCAGGCAGCUGCGAAAACCAAACAACUCUUUAUAUCAGAGAAUCUGUACAAAAGUUGAAUGAUGUAAACAUAGAGACCUACACAAAUGAUCAGGUGAUGGAAGCAUUGAAAACAGAGGGAGAUGUUGUAACAUUGACUAUCCAGUAUUUCAAAGCAGCUGGUUUGUUCCUUAACAAAUCUUCCGACGAUUGUAAGUAUACUGCUUUAAACUUGAAAUUGUUAUUUAUAAAAGCUUCACUGGAAGAAACAAUCUCCAUAACUCUGUUUUGAAUUUUGGCAGAGUGAUACUCCUUUAUAACUUAGAAUUAUUUUGUUAAAGUUUUAAUAUAAAGAUCAAUAUCUGCUACUGUCAGAACUUAAAUUUAAAGUAGUUAUACACUAUCAAAGUCUACACCAGAAGAAAGAAUCAUCAUAACUCUGAUUAUAUAUUUGAGUUAAGCGACUUUUACAGGCAAAGCUCUUAUUCAAGCACUGAAGAAAGCCCAGUGUGCUGUCUUAUGGACAGUUCUGUUGCAUGUGAUGUGAUAGUUAAUUCAGGAAAAAAGUGCACACUCUUCAGUCACUGACUUUUUAGAAUAUUUUGUAAUACUAUAUUUUUAUUAUGCCUCCGAAGGGAGGCAUAUUAGUUUUCAACUGUCCGUCCAUUCAUUUGUUCGUUCGUUCGUCACAAUGUUAAGGCCCUUUACUCGCGAACCACUGCACCAGGACCUUAAAACUUCACAUUCUGAUAGUACUUAUUGAGUACACAACCCCUACUGACUUUGAAGCCACCAGGUCAAAGGACAAGAUCACAGGGGCCAAUGUUAACUUUUUGCAUGAAGGCACUUUACUCGCGAACCACUGCACCCAGGACCUUUAAACUUCACAUGCUGAUAAUACUUAUUGAGUACACGACCUCUAAUGACUUUGGGGUCACCAGGUCGAAGGUCAAGGUCACCAGGUCGAAGGUCAAGGUGCUGCGGGGAAAUUUGUCACCAUUAGUGACAGCUCUUGUUAUGUUUUACUUUUCAGCAUCCUUAAAUGAAAAUGAAAGAGUAAGUAUAUGAUAUACAUGAUUAUUAUAAUAUGUGUUAUAGGUAAUGGUAAAUUCAUUUACAUAACUUCUUUUUUGCCAGUUACUAGUUUGUGCUAUUGACUGGCUCAUUGUUCAAUUAUAGGUUUACUUUGCUAAAAUCAUAACUUGAGAAAAAAACUUGAUAUCGUGUAAUUAAACACUUUUUGAAUGGCUCACUAGGCAGAAGUUAAAACUAUUUGUUGAAGGUUUGUGGAUGUGUAAGCUCUUUUCUAUCAAUGAAGGUGAUGUUUUUUUAGGAAACUUUAAGAAUUUACACUCUGCAGAUCUUGUUUUAUUUUCAUUUUAUUUAAUUAUUUUAAAUAUUUCAGAAUACUUCACCUCCUGGCGUGAUUUUACCAAGACUUGAGACAGUGUGUUGUCUACUCAUCAAUACCACUGUUAUAUGCAUACAUUACACGAUAUGUCGGUCGACAGAUCAACUCAGGAUUACAUUUCUGUGCGCAAGGAUUAAAAAACUACACCAGACUGGUGGCCAUGACAGAUGUCAGUGGGAAAUUUAAACAUGGACUAGAUACUUUGAUGUGUAGCAAAAAAGUUCAUCGUUGAUGGUGGUGUUUUUCUGUGAUAUAUUGACUGGGAUAGUAUUACUCUUCAGAAAUACAGAGCUGUCAAUGUUGCAAUUUUGUUGUGAAAUUCACAAUCCAUGUCCAAAAGUGCUUGUUUUACCAUACAGCAAAGAAGGAGAAAUUGUACCGGGCCGACACCGUUACGGUACCAUAAUCCUAGCCUCCGAUUCUAGGAUUACAGAAGUUCCGUAUUUCAAGACAACACUAUGAGAAUAGGCUAGGAUUACGAAAGUAUAUAAGAGGCAUCAAAUAUAUGUUAGGACAUGCAUAAAUGUUGUAAACUUACUUAUUUCAUUUAAAAUAGCGACUUUUCAUGCCUAUCGUAUUAUUAUGUGCAAGACAACCUGCCACAUUGAGGAAAACAUUUAUGUCCAAUAAAUAAGAUUGUUUAAUAUA